This 90-nucleotide transfer RNA is filed under the name Patescibacteria group bacterium. RNAcentral describes it as "tRNA-Ser". It matches the Rfam family "tRNA". Rfam says of the family: Transfer RNA (tRNA) molecules are approximately 80 nucleotides in length. Their secondary structure includes four short double-helical elements and three loops (D, anti-codon, and T loops). Further hydrogen bonds mediate the characteristic L-shaped molecular structure. tRNAs have two regions of fundamental functional importance: the anti-codon, which is responsible for specific mRNA codon recognition, and the 3' end, to which the tRNAs corresponding amino acid is attached (by aminoacyl-tRNA synthetases). tRNAs cope with the degeneracy of the genetic code in two manners: having more than one tRNA (with a specific anti-codon) for a particular amino acid; and 'wobble' base-pairing, i.e. permitting non-standard base-pairing at the 3rd anti-codon position. The record is from RNAcentral.
GGAGGCGUGGCUGAGCGGUCUAAAGCAACACACUGCUAAUGUGUUGGCCGGGAAACUGGCCCGAAGGUUCGAAUCCUUCCGCCUCCGCCA